Molecule: ribosomal RNA, 305 nt
Filed under: uncultured bacterium
Lineage: Bacteria
Description: bacterial SSU rRNA
Rfam family: Bacterial small subunit ribosomal RNA
Source: RNAcentral
UGCAGCCUACGGGAGGCAGCAGUGGGGAAUAUUGCACAAUGGGGGAAACCCUGAUGCAGCAACGCCGCGUGAAGGAAGACGGUUUUCGGAUUGUAAACUUCUUCUCUUAGUGAAGAAGCAAGUGACGGUAGCUAAGGAAUAAGCAUCGGCUAACUACGUGCCAGCAGCCGCGGUAAUACGUAGGAUGCGAGCGUUAUCCGGAAUUACUGGGUGUAAAGGGAGCGCAGGCGGGACUGCAAGUUGGAUGUGAAAUACCGCAGCUUAACUGCGGCGCUGCCUCCAAAACUGCAGCUCUUGAGUGGAGG